GGUUGCGAUCAUACCAGCACUAAUGCACAGGAUCCCAUCAGAACUCCGCAGUUAAGCGUGCUUGGGCGAGAGUAGUACUAGGGUGGGUGACCCCCUGGGAAGUCCUCGUGUUGCUACCC
This 119-nucleotide ribosomal RNA is filed under the name Helianthus annuus (common sunflower). The record is from RNAcentral. Lineage: Eukaryota; Viridiplantae; Streptophyta; Magnoliopsida; Asterales; Asteraceae.